This 105-nucleotide transfer RNA is filed under the name Gelatoporia subvermispora B. It matches the Rfam family "tRNA". Rfam says of the family: Transfer RNA (tRNA) molecules are approximately 80 nucleotides in length. Lineage: Eukaryota; Fungi; Basidiomycota; Agaricomycetes; Polyporales; Gelatoporiaceae. The record is from Rfam by way of RNAcentral.
GGCACUAUGGCCGAGUGGUUAAGGCGACAGAUUCGAACGGUAUAUACUUGCCUUCCGAAUAUCUGUUUCCCUAUGGGAGCGUGAGUUCAAAUCUCACUGGUGUCG